Molecule: ribosomal RNA, 276 nt
Filed under: uncultured bacterium
Lineage: Bacteria
Description: partial 16S ribosomal RNA
Rfam family: Bacterial small subunit ribosomal RNA
Source: RNAcentral
GCGAGGUGGUGCCAAUCCUAGAAAAUUCUUCGUAGUCCGGAUUGGAGUCUGCAACUCGACUCCAUGAAGUCGGAAUCGCUAGUAAUCGCGAAUCAGCAUGUCGCGGUGAAUACGUUCUCGGGUCUUGUACACACCGCCCGUCAUACCAUGGAAGUGGAUUGCACCAGAAGUAGAUAGUCUAACCUUAGGGAGGGCGUUUACCACGGUGUGCUCCAUGACUGGGGUAAAGUCGUAACAAGGUAGCCGUAGGGGAACCUGUGGCUGGAUCACCUCCUU